GACGAACGCUGGCGGCGGGCUUAACACAUGCAAGUCGAACGGAAAGGCACUGCUUUUGUGGGGUGCUCGAGUGGCGAACGGGGGAGUAACACGUGAGUAACCUACCCUUGACUUUGGGAUAACUUAAGGAAACUGGGCCUAAUACCGGAUAGGAGAUCCCGCUGCAUGGUGGGGGUUGGAAAGUUUCGGCGGUUGGGGAUGGACUGGCGGCUUAUCAGCUUGUUGGUGGGGUAGUGGCUUACCAAGGCUUGGGAGGGUAGCCGGCAUGAGAGGGUGACCGGCGACAUGGGGCCUAAGAGACGGACCAGUCGCGUACGGGAGGCAGCGGUGGGGAAUAUUGCACAAUGGGCGGAAGCCUGAUGUGGCAACGCCGCGUGCGGGAUGACGUCCUUCGGGUUGUAAACCGCUUUCGCCUGUGACGAAGCGUGAGUGACGGUAAUGGAUAAAGAAGCACCGGCUAACUACGUG
This 468-nucleotide ribosomal RNA is filed under the name uncultured bacterium. RNAcentral's name for it is "partial 16S ribosomal RNA". It matches the Rfam family "Bacterial small subunit ribosomal RNA", at positions 28 to 507 of the family's 1533-position model. The record is from RNAcentral.